This 497-nucleotide ribosomal RNA is filed under the name uncultured bacterium. Its description in RNAcentral is "partial 16S ribosomal RNA". It matches the Rfam family "Bacterial small subunit ribosomal RNA", at positions 28 to 507 of the family's 1533-position model. The record is from RNAcentral.
GAUGAACGCUGGCGGCGUGCCUAACACAUGCAAGUCGAGCGGAAGGACGAGAAGCUUGCUUCUCUGAUGUUAGCCGCGGACGGGAGAGUCACAUGUGGAUCACCUACCUAUAUGACUGGGAAAAUUUCGGGAAACCGGAGCUAACACGGGAUGAUCUUUUGCAGCGCAUGGUUCAUAGGAGAAUGUCGGUCUUGCGGUCAGUUAUCGCUGGAUCCGAGCUGCAUUGGCUGGUUGGUAAGGUCACAGGUUACCAAGGCAAGUAUGCAUAGCCGACCUGAGAGAGUGAUAGGCCACACUGGAGCUGGGACACGGUCCAGACUCCUAAGGGAGGCACCAGUAGGGUAUCUGCCGCAGUGGGCGGAAGCCUGACAGAACGACGGCGCGUGAGUGAUGAAGAUCUUCGGAUCGUAAUAAUCUGUUAUUAGGUAAGAACAUAUGUGUCAGUAGCUGUGCACAUCUUGACGGUACUGAAUCAGAAAGCCACGGCUAACUACGUG